GAAAUCCCAUCGAGGGGCGUCAGGCCAGGAGCCAGAGGCAACACAGCAUCCAGCUUCUUUUUCUGCCAGGCCAUGUUUCCAUGCCUGUGCUCAUCACAGACGCAUAUCAACGCUGAGGAGAGUGGAGUUUCAUUUCAUAGACAAGGCAAUGGGAUUCGAACCCGUUCUGAACGGCAGGUGGCACUGUUGCCAGUUCCAUGAAUGUUCAUUCUCAAUAAAAAGCCUUGGGUAAGAAGC
This is a long non-coding RNA of Myotis brandtii (Brandt's bat), 237 nucleotides long. RefSeq lists it as uncharacterized. The transcript has 3 exons. Lineage: Eukaryota; Metazoa; Chordata; Mammalia; Chiroptera; Vespertilionidae. The record is from RefSeq and is a predicted model, not a curated record.